Molecule: ribosomal RNA, 565 nt
Filed under: Bos taurus (domestic cattle)
Lineage: Eukaryota; Metazoa; Chordata; Mammalia; Artiodactyla; Bovidae
Description: partial 16S ribosomal RNA
Rfam family: Bacterial large subunit ribosomal RNA
Source: RNAcentral
UCAAAACAUCACCUCCAGCAUUCCCAGUAUUGGAGGCAUUGCCUGCCCAGUGACAACUGUUUAACGGCCGCGGUAUCCUGACCGUGCAAAGGUAGCAUAAUCAUUUGUUCUCUAAAUAAGGACUUGUAUGAAUGGCCGCACGAGGGUUUUACUGUCUCUUACUUCCAAUCAGUGAAAUUGACCUUCCCGUGAAGAGGCGGGAAUGCACAAAUAAGACGAGAAGACCCUAUGGAGCUUUAACUAACCAACCCAAAGAGAAUAGAUUUAACCAUUAAGGAAUAACAACAAUCUCCAUGAGUUGGUAGUUUCGGUUGGGGUGACCUCGGAGAAUAAAAAAUCCUCCGAGCGAUUUUAAAGACUAGACCCACAAGUCAAAUCACUCUAUCGCUCAUUGAUCCAAAAACUUGAUCAACGGAACAAGUUACCCUAGGGAUAACAGCGCAAUCCUAUUCAAGAGUCCAUAUCGACAAUAGGGUUUACGACCUCGAUGUUGGAUCAGGACAUCCUGAUGGUGCAACCGCUAUCAAAGGUUCGUUUGUUCAACGAUUAAAGUCCUACAUGAUCU